CAUAGAAUAUUAGUGCUGCAAGGGACCUUAACGAACCGUAAUCAGAUCCCCUCAUUUUAUAAAUGAUGAAAAUAUUCAUCUGUGGCUGGUCGUAGAAUUCUGAGCACAUUCCCUCUGAUGCCUCAGAGGCUCUCUGGUUGUUCUUUGUGGCAUUAGAAGGAGAAGAAUGGUACGAAUUUAUACUUUUCCUGGAGUCCUGUCAAGGGUAAAAACAGAAUGAGAAUUAGGUUAUCUUAGGCUCAAGAUUUAAGUUGAAUGGGUACUCAAGUUCCUAGAAAUGAGGGUGAAGAACGUUGAUGUUUAGAUUAAGUAGUUUUCAACCACACACAAUUUUGUCCCCAAAGGAGGAUUUGGUAACAUCUGCAGAAUUUUUUUUGUCAUAACUGGAAGGGAUGUUACCAGCAGCUAGUUUUGAGAGGUCAGGGAUCCCGCUAAACAUCCUUCAAUGUGUGGAACAGAACCCCCGACAAAGAAUGAUCCAGCCCCACUGUCAACAGUGCCAAAGGCUGAGAAACCCUGCAGUAGAUGUUCUUGUCAACUCAGAAGACAGGUCAAGGCCAAGAACAAAGAACAGAGAAUUGCCAUUUACAAACAAUGUACCUCCAAAUGGCAUGGCCGAAAACUUUCCUCUGUCAGAAUGACAAGGAAGCAAAGGAUACAGUGAUUGGGGGACCUCCUGUGAAAAAGUCUUGGGGAAUGGAAGUUCUGACUCCAGCAUAACAGCUGAAGCUGGGGAUUGGCCUGACCCAGCUCCACUGGGAAAAGGAGCUUUAUUCAUAACUACCCAAACGUGGAAGCAACCGAGAUGUCCCCCAACAGGCAAGAAGAUACAUAAACUGGGAUACAUCAAGGCAAUGGGAACGCCAUUCAGCAACAAAAAGAGAUGAACUACAGAGACAUGAGGAGAACCCCAAAUGCAUAUUACCGGCUGAAAGAAGACAUCUGAAAAGGGUUCCAGGAUGUUUCUCAUCUGUCAAAUGUGCAGAUUGCACUAUACAGGCUUGCAAACCAGAAUACCUACAAGAGUCAGGCCUGUGAUGCCAAUGAGUAAUCAGGCCAGGUUGGGCCUUCUUCAAGGAGGCGACUGACUGAUUCAGUUGAUGCUGAUUGCUGCCACUCCAGAAUACAGGUCCACAACAGAGACACCUUCUUAUUGCUCAAGCAAAGUUACAAAUAGAGAUUUAAAGUCCCAAUCCAGUCUGACUACCAUACCAUGGAUUCAAUGCAUUUGACCCCAGCUCCUCAACCUUUUCUCCAAAUGAAAGGCUAUGGCGUGUGCAAAGUGUCAAACAGAAGCAGAUGAAAAUCCGGCUUUACAAAGAUGUUAUGUCAUCAGAAGAAAUGCAACAGAAUCUAAUCUUGAAACUGUGGACUACAUUGAUCUAGUAGUUUGUGUGGUUUCUGACAGAUGUCAACUAUUGCUAUUUC
This 1428-nucleotide long non-coding RNA is filed under the name Equus caballus (horse). RNAcentral's name for it is "lncRNA (ENSECAG00000059318.1)". Lineage: Eukaryota; Metazoa; Chordata; Mammalia; Perissodactyla; Equidae. The record is from RNAcentral.